CUUAGCGGAGGAAAAGAAACCAACCGGGAUUGCCUUAGUAACGGCGAGUGAAGCGGCAAAAGCUCAAAUUUGAAAUCUGGUACCUUCGGUGCCCGAGUUGUAAUUUGGAGAGGGCAACUUUGGGGCCGUUCCUUGUCUAUGUUCCUUGGAACAGGACGUCAUAGAGGGUGAGAAUCCCGUGUGGCGAGGAGUGCGGUUCUUUGUAAAGUGCCCUCGAAGAGUCGAGUUGUUUGGGAAUGCAGCUCUAAGUGGGUGGUAAAUUCCAUCUAAAGCUAAAUAUUGGCGAGAGACCGAUAGCGAACAAGUACAGUGAUGGAAAGAUGAAAAGAACUUUGAAAAGAGAGUGAAAAAGUACGUGAAAUUGUUGAAAGGGAAGGGCAUUUGAUCAGACAUGGUGUUUUGUGCCCUCUGCUCCUUGUGGGUAGGGGAAUCUCGCAUUUCACUGGGCCAGCAUCAGUUUUGGUGGCAGGAUAAAUCCAUAGGAAUGUAGCUUGCCUCGGUAAGUAUUAUAGCCUGUUGGGAAUACUGCCAGCUGGGACUGAGGACUGCGACGUAAGUCAAGGAUG
Molecule: ribosomal RNA, 566 nt
Filed under: Saccharomyces cerevisiae (brewer's yeast)
Lineage: Eukaryota; Fungi; Ascomycota; Saccharomycetes; Saccharomycetales; Saccharomycetaceae
Description: partial large subunit ribosomal RNA
Rfam family: Eukaryotic large subunit ribosomal RNA
Source: RNAcentral